This is a long non-coding RNA of Macaca fascicularis (crab-eating macaque), 1733 nucleotides long. NCBI's taxonomy places the organism in Eukaryota, Metazoa, Chordata, Mammalia, Primates, Cercopithecidae. The record is from Ensembl.
UUUUUUUUUUUUUUCGUCAUGAGAAAAUAUCAGCUAAAUCCAAGUUGAGGAAUAUUCUACAAAUCUUGCUCAAGAUUCUCGGCACACAUGUGCAUGCGUUUACAUUGGACAUGUCCAUUAGAGUGGAAUUAAUGUUUAUAAGGCUUGCAUACAUUUAAUUUUAGUGGAUAAUACCUGUUUUAUAAAGUGGGUUCCAAUUUACCACCAUUGGAGUGCGACUGUCACUCCCCAUCCCCGCCACAUGUCCUGUGGGUCUUACAAACUUUAGCCUUUCUGGUGGGUGUGUAGUGAUAUUUAAUGGUGGUUUCAAUUAGAAGAGCCCUGAUGACACUGAUAUAAAGCACUACUUCAUUGGCUAUCCUUUUUGUGAAGUGCUUGUUCAAGCCAUUUGUCCAUUUACUCCACUUUCAUUUUCUUUGGUAAGUUUCUAAUGAUUAUGGGAAGGCUUUAUUGAUUCAGGACUGAGAACUUGUUAACUAUGUGUGUUGCAAUAACUCCUAUGUGUUGGUUUACGUUCAAUUCCUUGAUGAUGUCUUCUAAUGAGAAGAAGCUCUUAUUUGCCAAUUUUUUCCUUUAUGGAGAAUACUUUUGUGUUCUAUCAGGAAAUAUCUGCCUACCCCAAGGACAUAAAGAUAUUCUCUUCCCUUAUUAUCUAGAACUGUACUGUUUAAUAUAAGUAGCCAUUAGCCACAUGUGGAUAUUUAAACAUAAAUUAGGUAAAAUAAAAACAAAGUGAAAAUUUAGUGGUUGAGUUACACUAGCCAUAUUUCACCUGCUCAAAACCAGUAUGUGGCUGUGGCUACCAUCUAGGAGGGUUCAGAUGUGAAGCAUUUCCAUCACCAUACAAGUUCUAUUGGCAACACUGAUCAAGGGGCUCUGUAAUAGGGGUUUUCCUCUUACAUUUAGAUUGGCAAUGCACAGGUACGGAUUGCUUGGUGGCGAGGCAGAAGUCAUUCUGCUUUUCCCCAAGUGGAUAUCCAGUUGACCAGGCAUAAUUUUUUGAAAACACCUGCUCCUUCUCUACUGCUGUGUGGUACAAACUUCGUUGUAAUAAAAAUGUCCACUUAUAAGAGGCUCUAUUUCUGGCCUCUUAUCCUGUUCUAUUCUAUUUCUAUCUCUCCUUGUAUCAAUAACACGUUCUCUUAAUUACUAUGACUUUGUAAACUGUUCAAAACCCAGUAGCUUAUCUUAAUGUUGGCCAUUUUCAUCUAUAUACAUUCUGGAACCAACUUGUGAAUUUCCACCAAAAUAUUAAUUUUCUGGAAACUCUAUUAGGGCUUCAUGUUAUCUACCUAACACUAUGGGAAAGAACUAACAUCAUUGCAUAUAUUUCCAUUUCCAUUUAUUUUAUUGAUGUUAUAUAUUUUUCUGUAUAGAAAAUUGACUUGAUUAACAUGACGGUGUCUUGCCCAUUUUUAAUAAAAAUAUGCGUUAUUUUAAAAUGCUAUUUUGGUACUUUGGUUCAUUUUUUAAAACAUUUGAACCAACGAUAAAGUUACAGAAAAGUUUUAAGGACAGAUUUUUUUUUUUUUUUAGGCUUAAUUCACUUUAUUUUUCUUGUAUAAAACCCCUAUGUUGUAGCCACAGUUGGAGCCUGGGUCUGCUGCACGGAGACUCUGGUGUGGGUCUUGACAAGGUGGUCCAUGAAUUCCUGAUAGGGAGACUUGGUAAACACAGUCUCCUUCCAGAGGUCAGGGGUCAGGUAGCUGUAGGUCUUAGAGAUGGCAUCAAAG